Gavialis gangeticus (Gharial) is the source of this 3133-nucleotide long non-coding RNA. RefSeq lists it as uncharacterized. The record is from RefSeq and is a predicted model, not a curated record. Lineage: Eukaryota; Metazoa; Chordata; Crocodylia; Gavialidae. The transcript is spliced from 2 exons.
AAAUGUUCCACCAAUCCAAAGUGUCUUUCUCCAAGCCAGGCUUGUUGGCACAAGCAGUGAGCCCACCACACAAAAAACCACAUCAACAGAACAAGGUAUGAUAAUUACCCAACAAAACCAGCUCUGCUCUAUUGAGAAACAUCACUGGCACAGAAUGAUACUGAUUUAGAAUCCUUUUGUAGCUGUAUUUUGUGGGGCAUUUGUGGGGUGGGGUGGUGGAUGUAGGAUGUGCUUGGGGAAAAGAGCUUUGUGCUAGGGUAAAAGUUGUGGUAUGAGUAUUGAGAGAGGGUAAUUAAUGGAAAUGUUUGGUAAGGGAAGUGGGGGUGUUGUGUGUGUUGCAAGUGUUGGAGAGGGGAGAAGUAUGUAGUGUGAUUUUGGGGAUGGAAGGGGUUGUGAUGGAGGAGGGUAUGUGGUUACUCCCCAUGAGUUGUGGGGACGUUUGUAGGAGUGAGGACAUAUCCAGCUCCUAAAACAACCCAGUCUAUCACUGUGCCAGGGGACAGCUCUAGGGCAUUGGUUGUAAGGUGCUGCGCAGGCUCCAGGCGCACAGCCUUGUCUCCCUGCUCGUGAGCUAAUAAACAAUGCUCCACAGCAAGCGUGAUAUCCAGGAGACUUACUGGGAUUAGAUCUAGGACAAUUAGGCUGGGUGCAUGGAUCCCCAACCUCAGGGUACUCCAGUUCUUACCCACUGCCCCUAUAACCAUUACCCACACAGGCCACCCUGCACCUCAAGUGUCCCCAGGGUCUUUUAUCCUCAUCUAUUGCUCUGUUGUACCCCCAUCUUUCCCAGAUCCCUGCUUCCUCACUAGUUGACCACUACUGCCUCAAAGGAUGCAAUAGUAUACCACUUUCUAUUCACCCAGGUAUAUGCAAUUACUAGCUGGGCAUUUGUUUUUCCACAAUCAUUAAUUCGAGCAGGCUACGUAAAAAGCUACCCUCUUACUGGAAAAAGUGUAUGAAGUUAUAUAUGCUUCACAUGCCUGCCUAUACCCAUGGUCAGAGGACAAGUUUCGGUUACAAAAACAGCUUUCUAUUUCUGUUCUGUCUAGCUAACUAGCAAUUCAUGCGGUCAAUUGCAAAAGCUGUCUGAAUUGAGAGGUCAUUUCUCACACUGGUGGUAAAAGGAUUUAACUGGGACUACAUGAACAUGAAAUCAAUACUAAGUAAAAUGUUUUAUCAACAGUUAUAUACAGCAAAUGGUUUUGGAACCAUCUCAUUUUUCAUGGUGAAUGAAUAAUUAAAGUAGCUCAUAGUAAGCACAUCUAAGAAGUCUGACUUUUAAAAGGUGAGAGAGUGAAUUAAUGUUCUUGUAAUAAAUGCUGGAUCCCAUUCUUUGCCUCAGAGAAGUAAGGAAAUUUUGCAGAAUGGUUUGUGCUUGUAUGAAUGAUGGAACUGAUCAUCUUAUUUAUUCUGAGCAUAUAGCACCUUUCAUUGCAAAGUAUUCCAGAUGCUUCAGAAACUAAAUAAAGGAAUUCCAGAGCAUAAAGAAGUAUCAUGGCAUUAGUCCAAAGUGCUGUCUUUUACAAUAGGAUCAUAACAGUGAUCUGUUUUAUUUAGGAACAUUAGAAAUGUAGCCAUUUAAGCUCUGCCAGUGAAUGAAGGGGACAGAGGAGUGAAUGUAACCAAGGAUUUAGUAAGAGCAUUAUCAGAUCUGCCAACACAUAGAAAAUAGCUUAGUAUCUCUGCUCUUCCAUUAAAGAUGCAGUUUUUUAGAUUUUCUCUUACUCUAAAAAAAGGCUGCAUAGAAUUCAUCUGCCAUUACACAAAGGUCUAGUCUGAUCCCGGCUUCUUUCCCAGACCUGAAAAGACACCUUGUGGCUGAAAACUUGAGAUCUCUCACAAAUGUAAUAAGUACUUCAUAUUUGAUGCUUAGACCACUAAUCACUGUGGGUAAAACUCAGACCAACAUCAUAUAUCAACUCGUAGCCUGCACCGUAACAUUGGUGAAGAACAGUUUCCUCUCACUGCUGGUAGAUUCUGUUAGUAUCAAUGAGGAAGUUGUUUCCUCACCUGAAAGUAGAUGCAGCCUUUGGCAAAUUGGCCAAGUGGGUUUGGAGAAAUCAAGGUCUCUAUGAAGGUAAAGGUUUAGGAGGGCUGCUGCUCUUGUUUUGCUUUAGGGGUGUGAAAUCCAAGAUAUCAUACUGGGGACAUUUGAAGAAUGUCCCCUUCUGGCAUUUGAAGAAAAAUCAACCAAUGUUUCUUGUGUUCCCUCCUGAGGGAUGAAGAGCUUGACCAAAUAUCUAAUGUCAGGAUGCUGCAACAAGAUGAUAGUUACUGAAUAGAAGCAUUGAUGAAGUAGAUGUAGUUCUGUUGCGCUAGCCAUGUCCCAUGCACGAGUGAUGAACACAUGCCUAAGCAACUGCUUUAUGGAGGAGUGCAAUACAUUCAUCAACAGCAAGGGGGACAGAAAAGCAUUUCAGACCUGCUGAAGUUCCAUCUUGUUCAGAGCAGGAUGCUGACUCCUGGGAGCCAUUGGUUGGACAUGGACAGCAAGGACAUGAGAAGAUCAGCGGGUGUUGACUACUCUGAGCAGCAACAUAAUAUUGUUCCUGAAGAAAAGCAUGCUAGAGUUAAGGAGCAAAAAGCAGCAGAAAUUGCAGACCGUACAUCUGCCACAGGUAUGUGGGUAGCAUUGUAAGGAAGGUGGUUGAAGCUGUUACAUAUUGGCUUGUUGAUUUAUGUGUUCAUUUAUUGCAGCACUAGGAAUCCAGUUGAUAUUUCCUCAGACUGAGAUAACUAGAUAUAUUGAUUGGGCUUUGAUGGUUUGGCCUGGCCAUCCCUGAAUCCAGGGGAUAAAUGGAAAUUAUGACAGCAGCUACAUAUGAAGAUGGAGAAACCGAGGAAAAGAAGAAUAAAGUAAUUGGUGGGUCAUCCAGCAGGCCAGUGACAAGCCAGAAAUAAGGCCCAGAACUUGAAAGUCCUAGACCACUGCUCCAGCAAGGACACACUGCAUGCUCCUCUCAUGUUCUCUUGGAAAAGUCAACAUGAUGAAGAAACCUUCAUAGAUGUCAUAUUUGUAGUCUGUCUUGUGUUUCUGUCGUCUACCAGUGAUAUGACCAACAUACCUAGCUACAUAUUUAAACUUCGAAAACAAAACAAAAAUUGAGAGAAAUGGGCAUUCAGGAAAUAUUUU